Ailuropoda melanoleuca (giant panda) is the source of this 584-nucleotide long non-coding RNA. RefSeq lists it as uncharacterized. NCBI's taxonomy places the organism in Eukaryota, Metazoa, Chordata, Mammalia, Carnivora, Ursidae. The record is from RefSeq and is a predicted model, not a curated record. The transcript has 3 exons.
UGCUACAGACUACAUUUCCCAGAUUCCACAGCUGAGGUCCUGGAUAUGACUUAGCUUCUGCCCAUGCUGACCUGUCUGACUUGGAAGACAAAAGGGAGGUGAGGCCAUCUCCCUUCUACAGCUCUGUCUGAUGAGUAUGGUCCUGCGCUAUGAGUGUUUCAAGGCAAUGGUGACACCUGGACUCAGUGAGCCAGUGCAUGGCAGGCACAAGCGUGACGAGUUCACAGGCAUUGAAGCAUUUAGGCUGCUGGGCACAGCAUUUCUCUGUUGGGUCACCCACUUCAUGGAGCUUCCUGGCUUCGAAACUGCAUCUGCGUCAAGAGCACAACCUGCAGAAUUUCUUCUGUUGUUCAUUUUUUUUGGAUCUAAGGAAAAUAAUUCUACUCAUCAGAAAUUCCUGAUACUUGUCUUACUGAUAUUCGCUGAUGUUCUCAAACAACUUAUGUAGGCACCUAAAGCCAAACAAAGUAUGCAGAUGUCUGAAGCCAUGAGCCUCCCAGAUGUCACUUGAGGGCUAUCCACAAGAUGUGUCAUGAAAAAGGCUGCUGUGGCCGAUGCUGCCCAGAACAAUCUACACUUGCAAU